The sequence is a small nuclear RNA, 145 nucleotides long. Its record names the gene U1. It matches the Rfam family "U1 spliceosomal RNA". Rfam says of the family: U1 is a small nuclear RNA (snRNA) component of the spliceosome (involved in pre-mRNA splicing). Its 5' end forms complementary base pairs with the 5' splice junction, thus defining the 5' donor site of an intron. There are significant differences in sequence and secondary structure between metazoan and yeast U1 snRNAs, the latter being much longer (568 nucleotides as compared to 164 nucleotides in human). The record is from Ensembl.
UUUCUUACCUGGCAGGUGAGAUACUGUAAUCAAGAAGGCGGUUCACCCAGGGCGAGGCUCAGACAUUGCACUCUGGCUGUGCUGACCCCUGCGAAUUACCCAAAUGUGGGAACCUCGACUGCAUAAUUUGGGGCAGUGGUGGCCU